UGCAUGUCUCAGUACAUGCCGUAUUAAGGUGAAACCGCGAAUGGCUCAUUAAAUCAGUUAUGGUUCCUUAGAUCGUACCAACAUUUACUUGGAUAACUGUGGUAAUUCUAGAGCUAAUACAUGCAAACCAGAGUUCCGACCAGAGAUGGAAGGAAUGCUUUUAUUAGAUCAAAACCAAUCGGUGGCGGGCGCAAGUUCGUCCACCGUUUUUUUUGGUGACUCUGAAUAACUUUGUGCUGAUCGCAUGGUCUCGUACCGGCGACGAAUCUUUCAAAUGUCUGCCUUAUCAACUGUCGAUGGUAGGUUCUGUGCCUACCAUGGUAGUAACGGGUAACGGGGAAUCAGGGUUCGAUUCCGGAGAGGGAGCCUGAGAAACGGCUACCACAUCCAAGGAAGGCAGCAGGCGCGCAAAUUACCCACUCCCGGCACGGGGAGGUAGUGACGAAAAAUAACGAUACGGGACUCAUCCGAGGCCCCGUAAUCGGAAUGAGUACACUUUAAAUCCUUUAACGAGGAUCCAUUGGAGGGCAAGUCUGGUGCCAGCAGCCGCGGUAAUUCCAGCUCCAAUAGCGUAUAUUAAAGUUGUUGCGGUUAAAAAGCUCGUAGUUGAAUCUGGGUGUCACGCUGUCGGUUCAUCGCUCGCGGUGUUUAACUGAUACGUCGUGGCGCGUCAUGCCGGUGGACUUAGCAUCCCCCUUCGCGGGGUGUGUUGCGACGUCCUAUUUUAAUCCCAUCGCGGUGCUCUUUACCGAGUGUCGAGGUGGGCCGGCACGUUUACUUUGAACAAAUUAGAGUGCUUAAAGCAGGCUAUUUUCGCCUGAAUACUGUGUGCAUGGAAUAAUGGAAUAGGACCUCGGUUCUAUUUUGUUGGUUUUCGGAACACCGAGGUAAUGAUUAAUAGGGACAGAUGGGGGCAUUCGUAUUGCGACGUUAGAGGUGAAAUUCUUGGAUCGUCGCAAGACGGACAGAAGCGAAAGCAUUUGCCAAAAAUGUUUUCAUUAAUCAAGAACGAAAGUUAGAGGUUCGAAGGCGAUCAGAUACCGCCCUAGUUCUAACCAUAAACGAUGCCAGCUAGCGAUCCGCCGAAGUUCCUCCGAUGACUCGGCGGGCAGCUUCCGGGAAACCAAAGCUUUUGGGUUCCGGGGGAAGUAUGGUUGCAAAGCUGAAACUUAAAGGAAUUGACGGAAGGGCACCACCAGGAGUGGAGCCUGCGGCUUAAUUUGACUCAACACGGGAAACCUCACCAGGCCCGGACACCGGAAGGAUUGACAGAUUGAUAGCUCUUUCUUGAUUCGGUGGGUGGUGGUGCAUGGCCG
Molecule: ribosomal RNA, 1316 nt
Filed under: Acantholapitha sp. OSUC 181548
Lineage: Eukaryota; Metazoa; Arthropoda; Insecta; Hymenoptera; Scelionidae
Description: SSU rRNA
Rfam family: Eukaryotic small subunit ribosomal RNA
Source: RNAcentral